UCCCCGGUAGCUCAGUUGGUAGAGCGACGGACUGUUAAUCCGUUGGUCGCUGGUUCGAGUCCGGCCCGGGGAGCCA
Molecule: transfer RNA, 76 nt
Filed under: Gammaproteobacteria bacterium
Lineage: Bacteria; Pseudomonadati; Pseudomonadota; Gammaproteobacteria
Also listed under: 11 other names
Description: tRNA-Asn
Rfam family: tRNA
About the family: Transfer RNA (tRNA) molecules are approximately 80 nucleotides in length. Their secondary structure includes four short double-helical elements and three loops (D, anti-codon, and T loops).
Source: RNAcentral